Long non-coding RNA from Vespa crabro (European hornet), 889 nucleotides. RefSeq lists it as uncharacterized. The transcript has 2 exons. The record is from RefSeq and is a predicted model, not a curated record. NCBI's taxonomy places the organism in Eukaryota, Metazoa, Arthropoda, Insecta, Hymenoptera, Vespidae.
GUUUAAAACACAAUUUGCCACGAAAAACCAUCGAUUUCAGAAAUUGCGUCCACAUGAACGAGCUAUCAUCAUUCUGCGAUGACGAUGUACGAAACGAAUUUUUCCGAUAAACGAGCUCUCGCCAUAUUCCGUGCAUACGCAACAACUAGACUUGCUAGACACUACACACCGCGAUACUUGAUUGUAUAUUGCGCAACAUGGCUUCAAGGUUGUAAGCCACGAAGUGGUUUCACGUUUGACGAUUAAACUGUGCUUGAAGAGAAGAAAGAACAGAAAUAAGUAUUGUAAAACGUUUGAAAAACGUGUUGAUUUUAGGCGCAUGACAAAAUUCACCUCAAAAAUUUUCUACAUAAAAUAUGGUACAUAAAAUAUGGAGCACUGUCAUUAAUAUCCGAUUACAUGGACGAAGCAGAAACUCUUACUAAUUUCAACGUCUAUAUUUUGUUCUACUAACGAGAGAACAACACAUGUAAAAUGUUUUAUAGCAUAUUUUUUCAACGAAUGAAUGUGUGUGUGUGGAAAAAUUAAGGGAAAAAAAGAAAAAAAGAAAAAAAAAACUACAAUGACUAUGUAUCUUUCACUUCUCGAGGCACCUGUCGCUGAAGUAAUAAAACUAGUUACUUGUGAAAGCAAUUAUGCUAGGUAAAAUUUCUGGAUACGUCAACGUCAACGUCAUCGUCAUCGUCAUCGUCGUGUGUUUUCCUAGACUUAGUUCGUCAUUGUUCACGAGGAUAUUGUACGUUAUGUCGCGUCAAUAACAUCAAUAGCAAAGAAGACAGACGAACGAAAAAAUAACCGGAAGGAAAAUGUGAUUGCGAAAAAAAUUAGGGCCAGAUAUUUUUUAUGAAAAAUCUUUGGAUAAUAAAAUAAGAAAAAGCUGGGAUAUAAA